Molecule: long non-coding RNA, 2782 nt
Organism: Oncorhynchus tshawytscha (Chinook salmon)
Lineage: Eukaryota; Metazoa; Chordata; Actinopteri; Salmoniformes; Salmonidae
Source: Ensembl
AGGUACAGACGGUGUGGAGUCGGACCGGUCUGGGAUCAUGCUACCAUUCCACAGUACACCACUAGGUGGCAGGAGAGGGAGCAGCAAGCCCUACUCCUGCUCAGAUGGACCAGUGAAACCCCAGAGCAGAAAACACUUGAAUACAGCAUCAGAGGAGAACCGUUCUCUGGAGACCUCCAAUCUCACCCAUCCCAGUCCUCCAGCACUCUGGCACUCAUACAAGAACUUCAGCUACAGAUCUCCACCACCACCAGGUGACAUGGAGAAUGUCUACUCUAAGGGCAGGUAUCCUCUCUCCUCUCAGCCUCUACAGAAGCCUCUGUUGCAAGUCAACUAUGGCUCCUCCUGCAGUUUACCUGCAGGUUUCAAAGUGCGAGAGCAGCAGUCUGUCUCCCACCACCGGAGGCGCUCUACCCAGUCAGACUCAGCACUGCUGCCCAGCAACGUGUACUUUCAGCAGACCUUUCCCCCAGCUCUCAGCCCCCCCAGGACUGGGGUCAUAGCCAGCAGGCACAAAGCCAGCAGGGAUGAGGACAUCAACAGGACAUUGGACAGGGCUAUCGAGGCAGCCCGCAUUAUGAAGAGGACCACUGAUAGGAUGGCCAAGAGCCUGUCAGCUGACCUUGCCAAGGUUGAGCUGUACAGGAAGUUACACAGCCUUCACCCAUUGACAGGGAGGAACAAUACUGGCUCAUAACACUCUAAUUGACACACUGGAGAUACUGCUGCUACUAUAGGGCUGGUCCAGGAUUGGCUAACCAGUGAAUUCAGCAGGGAUUAUUUUGUAUACAGGUGAAGUCGGGAAGUUUACAUACACCUUAGCCAAAUACAUUUAAACUCAGUUUUUCACAAUUCCUGACAUUUAGUCCUAGUAAAAAAUUCCCUGUUUUAGGUCAGUUAGGAUCACUACUUUAUUUUAAGAAUGUGAAAUGUCAGAAUAAUAGUAGAGAGAAUUCCUAGUGGGUCAGAAGUUUACAUACACUCAAUUAGUAUUUGAUAGGAUUGCCUUUAAAUUGUUUAACUUGGGUCAAAUGUUUCGGGCAGCCUUCCACAAGCUUCCCACUAUAAGUUGGGUGAAUUUUGGCCCAUUCCUCCUGACAGAGCUGGUGUAACUGAGUCAGGUUUGAAGCCCUCCUUGCUCACACAUGCUUUUUCAGUUCUGCCCACACAUUUUCUAUAGGAUUGAGGUCAGGGCUUUGUGAUGGUCACUCCAAUACCUUGACUUUGUUGUCCUUAAGCCAUUUUGCCACAACUUUGGAAGUAUGCUUGGGGUCAUUGUCCAUUUGGAAGACCCAUUUGCGACCAAACUUGAACUUUCUCACUAAUGUCUUGAGAUGUUGCUUCAAUAUAUCCACAGAAUGUUCCCCCUCAUGAUGCCAUCUAUUUUGUGAAGUGCACCAGUCCCUUCUGCAGCAAAGCACCCCCACAACAUGAUGCUGGAACCUCCGUGCUUUAAGGUUGGGAUGUUCUUCGGCUUGCAAGCCUCCCCCUUUUUCCUCCAAACAUAACGAUGGUCAUUAUGGCCAAACAGUUCUAUUUUUGUUUCAUCAGACCAGAGGACAUUUCUCCAGAAAGUACGAUCUUUGUCCCAAUGUGUAGUUGCAAACUGUAGUCUGGCUUUUUUAUGCUGGUUUUGGAGAAGUGGCUUCUUCCUUGCUGAGCGGCCUUUCAGGUUAUGUCGAUAUAGGACUCGUUUUAUUGUGGAUAUAGAUACUUUUGUACCUGUUUCCUCCAGCAUCUUCACAGGGUCCUUUGCUGCUGUUCUGGAAUUGAUUUGCACUUUUCACACCAAAGUAUGUUCAUUUCUAGGAGACUGAACUCGCCUUUCCUGAACGGUAUGACGGCUGCGUGGUCCCAUGGUGUUUAUACUUGCGCACUAUUGUUUGUACAGAUUAACGUGGUACCUUCAGGCAUUUGGAAAUUGCUCCCAAGGAUGAACCAGACUUGUGGAGGUCUACCAUUUUUUUCUGAGGUCUUGACUGAUUUCUUUUGAUUUUCCCAUGAUGUCAAGCAAAGAGGCACUGAGCUUGAAGGUAGACCUUGAAAUACAUCCACAGGUACACCUCCAAUUGACUCAAAUGUUGUCAAUUAGCCUAUCAGAAGCUUCUAAAGCCAUGACAUCAUUUUCUGGAAUUUUCCAAACUGUUUAAAGGCACAGUCAACUUAGUGUAUGUAAACUUCUGACCCACUGGAAUUGUGAUACAGUGAAUUAUAAGUUAAAUAAUCUCUCUGUCAACAAUUGUUGGAAAAAUUACUGUCAUGUCAUUGUGUCAUGCACAAAGUAGAUGUCCUAACCAUCUUUCCAAAACUAUAGUUUGUUGACAAGACAUUUGUGGAGUGUUUGAAAAAUGAGUUUUAGUGAUUCCAACCUAAGUAUAUGUAAACUUCUGAAUUCAACUGUAUAUUUUAAUAAUACUAUAACACUAAGUCAUGGAUUAGCGCUGUGGCAACUUCCAACCCAAAGCUAAACAUUAUUAAACCUUCAGUUUACAAUUAGAAAAACCUUUGAAUGUGUUUUUGGAAAAUGGAUGUAUUUGAGAAAUUUGACUGAAUCUGAUCAUUUAUUUUUGAAUUACAUUAUUUAUAACCAUUUGGUCUCAUUAGUUAUUUUGUAAAUGUCAUAUUAUUGAAAAGAUAAAAAUUUGAUGUUGCAAAAUGUCCCCCCUUAUUCGAGAGGCCUGUGUGUGUUAAGAUGAACACAAGAAGGGGCAGCAGCGCUGUUCAUAGUGGGCUACUGUAAUUGACUAAACAUGUAACCUUUGCCUUGGUAACAACAGCUGCC